AACGAACGCUGGCGGCAGGCCUAACACAUGCAAGUCGAGCGAGGACUUCGGUCCUAGCGGCGGACGGGUGAGUAACGCGUGGGAACGUGCCCUUUGCUUCGGAAUAGCCCUGGGAAACUGGGAGUAAUACCGGAUGAGCCCUUUUGGGGAAAGAUUUAUCGGCGAAGGAUCGGCCCGCGUUGGAUUAGGUAGUUGGUGGGGUAAUGGCCUACCAAGCCGACGAUCCAUAGCUGGUUUGAGAGGAUGAUCAGCCACACUGGGACUGAGACACGGCCCAGACUCCUACGGGAGGCAGCAGUGGGGAAUCUUAGACAAUGGGGGAAACCCUGAUCUAGCCAGGCCGCGUGAGCGAUGAAGGCCUUAGGGUUGUAAAGCUCUUUCAGCUGGGAAGAUAAUGACGGUACCAGCAGAAGAAGCCCCGGCUAACUCCGUG
RNAcentral lists this ribosomal RNA (433 nucleotides) under uncultured bacterium. Its description in RNAcentral is "partial 16S ribosomal RNA". It matches the Rfam family "Bacterial small subunit ribosomal RNA", at positions 29 to 507 of the family's 1533-position model. The record is from RNAcentral.